AACGAACGCUGGCGGCAUGCCUAACACAUGCAAGUCGAACGAGACCUUCGGGUCUAGUGGCGCACGGGUGCGUAACGCGUGGGAACCUGCCCUUAGGUUCGGAAUAACUCCCCGAAAGGGGUGCUAAUACCGGAUAAUGUCUUCGGACCAAAGAUUUAUCGCCUUUGGAUGGGCCCGCGUUGGAUUAGCUAGUUGGUAGGGUAAAAGCCUACCAAGGCGACGAUCCAUAGCUGGUCUGAGAGGAUGAUCAGCCACACUGGGACUGAGACACGGCCCAGACUACGCGGGGAGGAGGCAGGGGGAAGUAUUCGACACUGGGCACACGACGGAUGCAGGGAGGUGGCGUGGGUGGGGAGGGGGGGAGGGUGGACAAGGUCUGUUACGGGGGAGGAAAGUGACAUUACCGGCCGAAUAAGCUCGGGCGAACACCGUGCAACCGGCCGGGGGAAUGGGCGAGGACAAUACGUCAGAAC
This 473-nucleotide ribosomal RNA is filed under the name uncultured bacterium. RNAcentral describes it as "partial 16S ribosomal RNA". It matches the Rfam family "Bacterial small subunit ribosomal RNA", at positions 37 to 537 of the family's 1533-position model. The record is from RNAcentral.